RNAcentral lists this ribosomal RNA (309 nucleotides) under uncultured eukaryote. RNAcentral describes it as "partial 18S ribosomal RNA". It matches the Rfam family "Eukaryotic small subunit ribosomal RNA", at positions 1470 to 1796 of the family's 1831-position model. The record is from RNAcentral.
CCCUUAGAUGUUCUGGGCUGCACGCGCGCUACACUGAUGCGUUCAACAAGUGUUAACCUUGCCCGAUAGGGUUGGGUAAUCUUUUGAAAGCGCAUCGUGAUGGGGAUCGAUGACUGCAAUUGUUCAUCUUCAACGAGGAAUUCCUAGUAAGCGCAAGUCAUCAACUUGCGUUGAUUACGUCCCUGCCCUUUGUACACACCGCCCGUCGCUACUACCGAUUGAAUGGUUUAGUGAGGCCUUCGGAUCCGCGACUCGUUUGUGGAGAAGUUGGACAAACUCAGUCAUUUAGAGGAGGUAAAAGUCGUAACA